This 2357-nucleotide unclassified non-coding RNA is filed under the name Monomorium pharaonis (pharaoh ant). RNAcentral describes it as "rNA-binding protein 45, transcript variant X2". Lineage: Eukaryota; Metazoa; Arthropoda; Insecta; Hymenoptera; Formicidae. The record is from RNAcentral.
ACCCCCUCCGCGCCAGCCGGAGCCAGCGGCAUCCUCGUUCUCGCUCUUCGCGCGUCAGCCGAGCCCCGCGUAGACGGACGGCGGUAGAUCGUCCGCGCUCGCGGCAGCGCUCGCGUUCGUCGUCGUUAUUCAUCGUUUGGGUAAAAUGGCCGACCACAGGGAACGGGACUCGUAUUACUCGCAGACGGAUCUCCGCUCCAAAAAUGACGAUCCGCCGAACUCACGUCUCUUCGUCAUCUGCCACAAAAGCCUCGAGGAAGACGAUCUCAGGAAGGCAUUCGAGAAGUUCGGCAAGAUCGAGGACAUCUGGGUGGUUAAGGAUCGUAAUACGGGCGAGAAUAAAGGUGUCACAUAUAUCAAGUUCUUUAAAACGUCAGAAGCAGCGUUCGCUCUGGAAGAGAUGAAUGGCAAGAUGUUGGGCUCUGUCGGCAGACCUAUCAAAGUGAUGAUCGCUUCGAACCGGGAUCAAGGUUCUGUGCGCGAGACGAACGAAGAGGAGAGGUGGGUUCGCUUAUUCUGUGUAUUACCGAAAACAAUGACUGACAGCGAGUUGCAACAGGAGUUCUCCAAGUUCGGUGCGAUAGAGUACGCAACGGUCGUGAAGGAUCGCAGCACGAACGAGUCCAAGGGCUUCGGCUACGUAAAAUUCAAGAAGGUAUCGAGCGCAGCGCGGGCGUUCGAGGAGUGCGACAGGAAGUACAAAGCGGUGUUUGCCGAGCCGAAGAAACCGAAAUCCGAUCACAACGAUGUCAAGUACAACAAUGGGUUGUCCAGUGCCGCGUAUGACGGCACCGGCGCCAGCUAUGGUCCCACGAACUUCGGCAAGAGCAGCAUCAGCCUGGAGAUCGCGACCAACUACUCCAACUCGGAGGGCUAUACGCGUCUGCAGGUGAUCGCGCACCCGGCGCUGAAUCAAGACCAGCUAUGGAAGCUUUUUGAUAUAGUGCCUGGGAUGGAUUACUGCCACUUGAAGACCGAUGUUAGAUACAGGAUGCCGCGUGGCCAGGCGGUAGUGGUGUACAACAAUCCGAGCGCGGCGGCAUACGCGCGCGAGAAGUUCCACGGUUUUGAAUAUCCGCCUGGUCAUCGGAUGAUCGUCAAACCGGAUCUGACGAGCGCACCACCGAAGGGCGCGUCAAAACCUGGGGGGUCGACCGCCGGCAGUGUCGCCAGCGCGAGGACUGAUCUGGCGCAUUUAGCAGAGACGAUUGCUCAAGCCACCUCGUUGAUUCAAGCUGCAGGUCUGACAGCACCGAGCUUAGACCACAUAUCCGUGAAGUUACCACCUGUACAACCGAUGGCGAGUAUAGACGCUGAGGUCGCUAAGAGGUGUUUCAUCGUAUGCGGUCCACCAGUGCCACCUAUCUACGCUAUGAAGGACGCGUUCUGUAGGUUUGGAAAUCUCAUAGAUGUAUAUAUGUUACCCGGCAAGAAUUGCGGAUAUGCGAAAUAUGCCAGCGUCAGCAGCGCAAAUGAGGCGAUUGAGGUCCUACAUGGUCAGGAGAUUUGUGGAUCUCGGCUGAAAGUCCUUGAGGCGGAGGAACGAAACGUCGGUGAAGAUCGACGGAAACGAUUACGAAUGGAUGAAGAUGAGAACUGAACGUGUCCUAAUAAAAAUGCGUAUCUCACUGACUGGUAUACACAAGCCGGACGCACGCAACAAAAAGAGACGAAUUUAAAGACUACUACUCACUUGACCACAUCAAGGGCCUGCAUCCAGGGAAAACUACUCCAACUACCUACCUAUAUAUAUAUUUAACUGUUCGCUUACGUUCGCGCAGCUGCAACUCUCUACGUUACUGAAACCUUUAACUGCUACUCUACUAUUACUAUUACUUUUUAUCCUCUUACAUGGUCCGUUCACACACGAUACGUUGCGCGCGCGGACGAAAACCCAUGUUUCUGUUACUUUAAGAGGCCUGUGCGAACGGCCAUAUAUCGUUGAACGCUUGAACUCGCUAUAUCUAUGGAAAUGCUGAAAUGUAUACUUUCUUCCUUCGGAUUUUACUGGAAGACUUGGAGGAAGCAAAGUGCGCACACAUUGAUGAGAUGCACAGGAUAUCGUGAGGAUUCCACGAAGCAUUGUACCUGAAGACUGUGAUACUUCUAGCGACAUAAGAUUAUAUAAUGUUUUUACGAGAUUGUACAUAUGGGAAGAAAAAUUUUACAGAAUCUAUUAAAUUAUUAUAUUUUUAGUACAUGCAAUUUUUUGUAUUAUUUACAUGUGUAUGUAUUUAUUUUUUUUUUUUGAGACAAACCAUCGCCUCUAUUAAAAAUGAAUGAGUAAUAAUUUUUUAUCACUUCUCUAUUUUUAAGUCAUGUCAGAUAAAGUUUAUUACUCUUAUUGGUAAAAAAAU